AGCUAAAUAAUUGCAUUUUCGCAACCCUUUCGCCAAUUUUUUUCGUGAAAAAACGUGUAAUUUUACGAAAAAUUGCGCGCAUGGGUUGCGAAAACGCAUUAACCGCACGG
MicroRNA precursor from Caenorhabditis elegans, 110 nucleotides. The record is from Ensembl. NCBI's taxonomy places the organism in Eukaryota, Metazoa, Nematoda, Chromadorea, Rhabditida, Rhabditidae.